Molecule: ribosomal RNA, 504 nt
Filed under: uncultured Glomus
Lineage: Eukaryota; Fungi; Glomeromycota; Glomeromycetes; Glomerales; Glomeraceae
Description: SSU rRNA
Rfam family: Eukaryotic small subunit ribosomal RNA
Source: RNAcentral
AGCAGCCGCGGUAAUUCCAGCUCCAAUAGCGUAUAUUAAAGUUGUUGCAGUUAAAAAGCUCGUAGUUGAAUUUCGGGGUCAGUAGGUUGGUCGUGCCACUGGUAUGCACUGGUCUCACUGAUUCCUCCUUCCUGAUGAACCGUAAUGCCAUUAAUUUGGUGUUGCGGGGAAUCUGGACUGUUACUUUGAAAAAAUUAGAGUGUUUAAAGCAGGCUAACGCCUGAAUACAUUAGCAUGGAAUAAUGAAAUAGGACGAUCGAUCCUAUUUUGUUGGUUUCUAGGAUUGACGUAAUGAUUAAUAGGGAUAGUUGGGGGCAUUAGUAUUCAAUUGUCAGAGGUGAAAUUCUUGGAUUUAUUGAAGACUAACUACUGCGAAAGCAUUUGCCAAGGAUGUUUUCAUUAAUCAAGAACGAAAGUUAGGGGAUCGAAGACGAUCAGAUACCGUCGUAGUCUUAACCAUAAACUAUGCCGACUAGGGAUCGGAUGAUGUUAAUUUUUUAAUGA